UUUUAGCAAAAAAAAUUAGUUUCGACCUAAAUAAUAAAAAGCUAAAAC
RNAcentral lists this transfer RNA (48 nucleotides) under Sarcoptes scabiei. Its description in RNAcentral is "tRNA-Arg". Lineage: Eukaryota; Metazoa; Arthropoda; Arachnida; Sarcoptiformes; Sarcoptidae. The record is from RNAcentral.